This 945-nucleotide ribosomal RNA is filed under the name human gut metagenome. RNAcentral describes it as "bacterial SSU rRNA". It matches the Rfam family "Bacterial small subunit ribosomal RNA", at positions 8 to 937 of the family's 1533-position model. The record is from RNAcentral.
AGAGUUUGAUCCUGGCUCAGAUUGAACGCUGGCGGAACGCUUUACACAUGCAAGUCGAACGGUAACGCGGAGAGAAGCUUGCUUCUCACCGGCGACGAGUGGCGAACGGGUGAGUAAUACAUCGGAACGUGUCCGCUCGUGGGGGACAACCAGCCGAAAGGUUGGCUAAUACCGCAUGAGUUCUACGGAAGAAAGAGGGGGACCCGCAAGGGCCUCUCGCGAGCGGAGCGGCCGAUGACUGAUUAGCCGGUUGGUGAGGUAACGGCUCACCAAAGCAACGAUCAGUAGCUGGUCUGAGAGGACGACCAGCCACACUGGGACUGAGACACGGCCCAGACUCCUACGGGAGGCAGCAGUGGGGAAUUUUGGACAAUGGGCGCAAGCCUGAUCCAGCUAUUCCGCGUGUGGGAUGAAGGCCCUCGGGUUGUAAACCACUUUUGUAGAGAACGAAAAGACACCUUUUAAAAAAGGGUGUUGCUGACGGUACUCUAAGAAUAAGCACCGGCUAACUACGUGCCAGCAGCCGCGGUAAUACGUAGGGUGCGAGCGUUAAUCGGAAUUACUGGGCGUAAAGGGUGCGCAGGCGGUUGAGUAAGACAGAUGUGAAAUCCCCGAGCUUAACUCGGGAAUGGCAUAUGUGACUGCUCGACUAGAGUGUGUCAGAGGGAGGUGGAAUUCCACGUGUAGCAGUGAAAUGCGUAGAUAUGUGGAAGAACACCGAUGGCGAAGGCAGCCUCCUGGGACAUAACUGACGCUCAGGCACGAAAGCGUGGGGAGCAAACAGGAUUAGAUACCCUGGUAGUCCACGCCCUAAACGAUGUUAACUAGUUGUUGGGAAGUAAAAUUCUCAGUAACGCAGCCAACGCGAGAAGUUAACCGCCUGGGAAGUACGGUCGCAAGACUAAAACUCAAAGGAAUUGACGGGGACCCGCACAAGCGGUGGAU